GGUUCUCGUCUGAUCACUGAAGUUAAGCAACGUCGAGCCUGGUCAGUACCUGGAUGGAUAACCGCUUGGAAAUACCAGGUUCUGG
Non-coding RNA from Acanthosepion pharaonis, 85 nucleotides. Lineage: Eukaryota; Metazoa; Mollusca; Cephalopoda; Sepiida; Sepiidae. The record is from the annotation of a GenBank genome assembly.